RNAcentral lists this ribosomal RNA (148 nucleotides) under uncultured bacterium. RNAcentral's name for it is "partial 16S ribosomal RNA". It matches the Rfam family "Bacterial small subunit ribosomal RNA", at positions 383 to 524 of the family's 1533-position model. The record is from RNAcentral.
CUGAUCAGCCAUGCCGCGUGUGUGAAGAAGGCCUUAGGGUUGUAAAGCACUUUCAGGGGUGAGGAAGGGUAACUGGCUAAUAUCCAGUUAUCUUGACGUUAGCCCCAGAAGAAGCACCGGCUAACUCUGUGCCAGCAGCCGCGGUAAU